This 253-nucleotide unclassified non-coding RNA is filed under the name uncultured Flavobacteriales bacterium. RNAcentral describes it as "contains 16S-23S intergenic spacer region". It matches the Rfam family "Bacterial small subunit ribosomal RNA", at positions 524 to 776 of the family's 1533-position model. Lineage: Bacteria; Pseudomonadati; Bacteroidota; Flavobacteriia; Flavobacteriales. The record is from RNAcentral.
UACGGAGGGUCCAAGCGUUAUCCGGAAUCAUUGGGUUUAAAGGGUGCGCAGGCGGUAAAGUAAGUCAGUGGUGAAAUCCUGCAGCUCAACUGCAGAACUGCCAUUGAUACUGCUAUACUUGAAUAUAGUCGAAGUGGGCGGAAUGUGACAUGUAGCGGUGAAAUGCUUAGAUAUGUCACAGAACACCGAUAGCGAAGGCAGCUCACUAGACUAAGAUUGACGCUCAUGCACGAAAGCGUGGGGAGCGAACAGG